GGUUGAUCCUGCCAGUAGUCAUAUGCUUGUCUUAAAGAUUAAGCCAUGCAUGUCUAAGUACAAGCUUUUUACGGUGAAACUGCGAAUGGCUCAUUACAACAGUUAUAGUUUAUUUGGUAUUCAGAUUCAAUGGAUAACCGUGCUAAUUGUAGGGCUAAUACACGUUUGAGGUCUUUUGACCGCGUUUAUUAGUUUGAAACCCGCCUUGGCUUUCGGUGAUUCAUAAUAAACUGGCGAAUCGCAUUUAGCGAUGGACCAUUCAAGUUUCUGACCCAUCAGCUUGACGGUAGGGUAUUGGCCUACCGAGGCAGCAACGGGUAACGGGGAAUUAGGGUUCGAUUCCGGAGAGGGAGCCUGAGAGACGGCUACCACAUCUAAGGAAGGCAGCAGGC
RNAcentral lists this ribosomal RNA (392 nucleotides) under Babesia vogeli. Its description in RNAcentral is "SSU rRNA". It matches the Rfam family "Eukaryotic small subunit ribosomal RNA", at positions 6 to 433 of the family's 1831-position model. Lineage: Eukaryota; Apicomplexa; Aconoidasida; Piroplasmida; Babesiidae. The record is from RNAcentral.